This 439-nucleotide ribosomal RNA is filed under the name uncultured bacterium. RNAcentral describes it as "partial 16S ribosomal RNA". It matches the Rfam family "Bacterial small subunit ribosomal RNA", at positions 339 to 795 of the family's 1533-position model. The record is from RNAcentral.
CUACGGGUUGCUGCAGUGAGGAAUAUUGCACAAUGGGGGGAACCCUGAUGCAGCAACGCCGCGUGGAGGAUGACGCAUUUCGGUGUGUAAACUCCUUUUAUAUGUCAAGAAAAUGACGGUAGCAUAUGAAUAAGCACCGGCUAACUACGUGCCAGCAGCCGCGGUAAUACGGAGGGUGCAAGCGUUACUCGGAAUCACUGGUCGUGAAGGACGCGUAGGCGGGUUGGAAAGUCAGGUGUGAAAUCCUACAGCUUAACUGUAGAACUGCACUUGAAACUUCUAAUCUAGAGUAUGGGAGGGGGGGAUGGAAUUAGUGGGGUAGGGGUAAAAUCCGUAGAUAUCACUAGGAAUACCUAAAGCGAAGGCGAUCUCCUGGAACAUUACUGACGCUAAGGCGUGAAAGCGUGGGGAGCAAACAGGAUUAGAUACCCCCGUAGUC